GACGAACGCUGGCGGCGUGCUUAAUACAUGCAAGUCAACGAUUUUUAAGAUAGCAAUAUUUUAAAAAUAGUGGCGCACGGGUGAGUAACACGUAGAUAAUCUGCCUUUAGGUCUGACAUAACUCGUCGAAAGACGGGCUAAUAUCAGAUAAAACAAUAACUUGGCAUCAAGUAAUUGUCAAAGCUUCGGCGCCCAAAGAUGAGUCUGCGGACCAUUAGGUAGUUGGUGGAUUAACAGCCCACCAAGCCAACGAUGGAUAGCUGGUCUGAGAGGAUGAUCAGCCACACUGGAACUGAGACACGGUCCAGACUCCUACGGGAGGCAGCAGUAAGGAUAUUGCUCAAUGGGAGAAAUCCUGAAGCAGCAACGCCGCGUGAAGGAAGAAGGGGUCUUCG
RNAcentral lists this ribosomal RNA (395 nucleotides) under uncultured bacterium. Its description in RNAcentral is "bacterial SSU rRNA". It matches the Rfam family "Bacterial small subunit ribosomal RNA", at positions 28 to 425 of the family's 1533-position model. The record is from RNAcentral.